AGUGAACGCUGGCGGUAGGCCUAACACAUGCAAGUCGAGCGGCAGCACAGUAAGAGCUUGCUCUUACGGGUGGCGAGUGGCGGACGGGUGAGGAAUACAUCGGAAUCUACUUUUUCGUGGGGGAUAACGUAGGGACACUUACGCUAAUACCGCAUACGACGUACGGGUGAAAGCAGGGGAUCUUCGGCUCUUGCGCGAUUCAAUGAGCCGAUGUCGGAUUAGCUAGUUGGCGGGGUAAAGGCCCACCAAGGCGACGAUCCGUAGCUGGUCUGAGAGGAUGAUCAGCCACACUGGAACUGAGACACGGUCCAGACUCCUACGGGAGGCAGCAGUGGGGAAUAUUGGACAAUGGGCGCAAGCCUGAUCCAGCCAUGCCGCGUGGGUGAAGAAGGCCUUCGGGUUGUAAAGCCCUUUUGUUGGGAAAGAAAAGCAGCAGGUUAAUACCCCGCUGUUCUGACGGUACCAAAAGAAUAAGCACCGGCUAACUUCGUG
This 492-nucleotide ribosomal RNA is filed under the name uncultured bacterium. Its description in RNAcentral is "partial 16S ribosomal RNA". It matches the Rfam family "Bacterial small subunit ribosomal RNA", at positions 29 to 507 of the family's 1533-position model. The record is from RNAcentral.